This 425-nucleotide ribosomal RNA is filed under the name uncultured bacterium. RNAcentral describes it as "bacterial SSU rRNA". It matches the Rfam family "Bacterial small subunit ribosomal RNA", at positions 354 to 796 of the family's 1533-position model. The record is from RNAcentral.
GUGGGGGAUAUUGCACAAUGGGGGAAACCCUGAUGCAGCGACGCCGCGUGAGUGAAGAAGUAUUUCGGUAUGUAAAGCUCUAUCAGCAGGGAAGAAAAUGACGGUACCUGACUAAGAAGCUCCGGCUAAAUACGUGCCAGCAGCCGCGGUAAUACGUAUGGAGCAAGCGUUAUCCGGAUUUACUGGGUGUAAAGGGAGCGUAGACGGUUUGCCAAGUCUGAUGUGAAAGGUGUGGGCUCAACCCGCAAACUGCAUUGGAAACUGGUAGACUAGAGUGUCGGAGAGGUAAGUGGAAUUCCUAGUGUAGCGGUGAAAUGCGUAGAUAUUAGGAGGAACACCAGCGGCGAAGGCGGCUUACUGGACGAUAACUGACGUUGAGGCUCGAAAGCGUGGGGAGCAAACAGGAUUAGAAACCCUAGUAGUCC